Molecule: long non-coding RNA, 1280 nt
Filed under: Nicotiana benthamiana
Lineage: Eukaryota; Viridiplantae; Streptophyta; Magnoliopsida; Solanales; Solanaceae
Description: long non-coding RNA (NBEN_LNC037288)
Source: RNAcentral
GAAAAUUAGGCUCAAAUAUCUUAUAUUGUUUCGAACUGAAGGCCUAACUUCUCAAAUUCAUGCCACAGAAUAUAAACCUAUAUGUUCCACAUAUAAUUGAGGGAAACCCCCAUUUAUGUUUGAGUAGCCACUUUCGUGUCCAAUACUAUAUCGAAUCAAAUGCACAUAUUUUCCUGAGUUCUAACGUGUACAAUUACAAAAUCAAUAAUGUGGCGCGUCGCAUAAGCAUAAUCCAAUAACAAGAUUGCAUUUACAUUUAUACGCAUUCUAAUGUUUAUUUUUUGCGUCAAGUUGAAACUAGGCUCAAAUUUCUAAUAGACAUUCAUCUUUUUCAAACUGAAUGCCUAACUUUUUAAAUUCAUGUCACAAGAUAUAGACCUGUCAGCUCCACAUAUAGUUGAUGGGGACCCCAUUUAUGUUCAAGUAGUCAUUUCCUUCUCCAAUAUUAUAUCGAAUCCAAUCCAAUAAUUUCCCCCGUUCUAACGUGUUUUACAAUUACACAAUCAAUAUUGUGGCACGUCGCAUAAGCAUAAUCCAAUAGGAAAAUUACAUUUAUACUGAUGGUAUGUACGCUUGUUUAUUUUUUGCCUCAAAUUUAAACUUAGGCUCAAAUUUCUAAUAGAUAUUCAUUUGUUUCGAACUGAAUGCCUAACUUCCCUAACUUCUGAAUUCAGGGCACAAAAUAUAAACCUAUAUUUAUAUUUAAUUAGUCAUUUUAUUAUUGAAUAGCGUACUGAAUCAAAUCUUUGUAGGAUUACAAAAUCAAUAUUGUGGUUGUGCACGUCACAAAGGCGUAAUCCAAUUUGGCCAUGCUUAUCAGUGGGAGGAUUUGCGUUUCUAGCAAUUAAACAUAGCAAAAUAAUUUUCUUUUCAGGUUAAAAGCAAACCAAACAUACACUUUUAUCUCUGGCAUAUAUUUCCUUCGAGAGCCAAUUUAAAUACAUAGAUUUUAUUACUGUGAACAAGUAAUAUAUUUUAUGCAAUCGUUAAACUAAAUUCUAUCUCAAAGUAUUAAAAAAACUUAGUCUACAAACGCUAUUUCACGGUAUAAUAUACACGUUCAUGUUUACAUAUACUGUACAAAUACUUCUAGGACCCUAUCAAAUAAUCAAAAUACUAAUGCUUCUGAUCCUGGUACUUUCUGCUUUUUGAGCUGUACCGUGAAAUGGUGCAGGUUUAUUUUAACCAAAACCAAAUCAGGAGACGAAACUGAUCGAGCUAGUGAGUUUCGAAGGAGUGCUAAAAUCCACAAUGAACCGUUCGAAGCAAAAAAAAACUAC